AGAGCUCAAAUUUAAAAUCUGGCAGUGUAUUCUGUCCGAGUUGUAGUCUAGAGAAGCAUCAUCCGUGCUGGACCAUGUACAAGUCUCUUGGAACAGAGCGUCAUAGAGGGUGAGAAUCCCGUCCUUGACAUGGACUACCAGUGCUUUGUGUUGUGCUCUCAACGAGUCGAGUUGUUUGGGAAUGCAGCUCAAAAUGGGUGGUAAAUUCCAUCUAAAGCUAAAUAUUGGCGAGAGACCGAUAGCGAA
RNAcentral lists this ribosomal RNA (246 nucleotides) under Thanatephorus cucumeris. RNAcentral describes it as "partial 28S ribosomal RNA". It matches the Rfam family "Eukaryotic large subunit ribosomal RNA", at positions 104 to 344 of the family's 3401-position model. Lineage: Eukaryota; Fungi; Basidiomycota; Agaricomycetes; Cantharellales; Ceratobasidiaceae. The record is from RNAcentral.